RNAcentral lists this long non-coding RNA (286 nucleotides) under Jatropha curcas. RNAcentral's name for it is "long non-coding RNA (JCUR_LNC000371)". The record is from RNAcentral. Lineage: Eukaryota; Viridiplantae; Streptophyta; Magnoliopsida; Malpighiales; Euphorbiaceae.
AAUUUUUUUAUUUCUGAGCUGCAUUUGGGAUUACUCUGGGACUUAAUUGUGUCUUUAAACAUGAUUUAGAAUUUAUAGGAUAUCUAGAGAGGAGAACUUUGCUUUUGAAACUUGGUCUGACUGUUGUGAGAGCCCUAGACGAUAAGACUUAGCGAGCGAAAACCAUAACUUGAAAUUGACCGUCAUUGCACUCGUGAAUCUUGGUUUAAAUUGUUUACACUUUGAAUUCUCAAAUCGGGUUUUCGAAACUUGGCCUCUUUUGAUAAGUGUUUUUGAGAGCAAUNNN